Molecule: long non-coding RNA, 1453 nt
Filed under: Olea europaea subsp. europaea
Lineage: Eukaryota; Viridiplantae; Streptophyta; Magnoliopsida; Lamiales; Oleaceae
Source: RNAcentral
UUUAUCCCUAACCCUCAUCAUCACCCUAUUCUUUCUCUCUCUACCCACGAACUACACUGGAGGCGACACCGGUGCAACCACAACAUCACACCAUCGACGACUAGCUGCACGAUGCGAUAUCCCAAAAUCGAAUUACCCUCACCCUCAUCCUCUUAUUUCUCUCUAACCUCUCUCUCUAUCCACGAACCACAUGGAGGCGACGCCAUCACCGGCGCGGUUAACAUCACAUCGUCGACCAGCAACAGUACGAUGUGGACUUGACCCUGCCAAUUGUUGAACGCAUACCCCGUUUGCCGCACUGAAAUGCAAACACACACAAACGAAGUGAACGGUGGCGUCAUCCUUGUGUUUGGAGAUCUGAGGGCGGUGGCGUCAUCUUUGGCAUCACGAUGUAGCAGCUUAGGGUAUUUUCACCCGUUGUGGUUUUCAGUAGCGAUAGCGUAAUAUAUCUUCUUUUGCGGUGGUUUUCAUGCUUGGGUGAUGGGGGUGCUGUAAUGGUGGGACGUUGACGGUGGUGGUGAAUCCGCUGAGGGUGAGGUGGUGGUUUUGAUGCUGCUUAUGGUGGUUUGGGAUGGUUUUGACUUUGAAGUGAUGGUUUUGUUGGAUAUGGUGGUGACUGAUUUUUGUUGGUGGCAGUGGCAGUGGAUAUGACGGUUGGGGCGGUUUUUCUUGAAUAUGGUGGUGGUGGUUUGGUUAUGGUGCUAGCCUCUGUGGUGAUGUUGUUAGGUUAUAUUGAUGGUGGUGUGGUGUGGUGUGGCGCGGUGUGGUUUUGUCACUUGUAUUACAUGUGUUUCUGGUGAAGUGGUGUACGUUUGAUUGUCGAUGGUAAGAGUGGUGAUGAGUGACCAAAUCUAUUUUUAUUGUAACUGCCUGUGACCAGAUUUGUGUUAAUCGUGACUGUAUAUGACUUGGCUAUAUAUAGUCACAAAUUAGAUUAACAAGGUCACAAAUAGUCACACCGAAAAUAAAUUUGGUCGUGAACACAUAAUGUCACAGUUCAUACGUUACGGGUCACAAUUCGCAAUUAAUGUCACAUGUUUGAGUUUACAAGUCACAGUCAUUUUAUGUAAGUCACAAAUUAGUAUAAACGGGUGACAAAUCAAUAUUAACAAGUCACAUGUCGUUUUAUAGAAGUCACAGAUUAAAUUUAUAGGUCACAGGUUUGAGUUCACAAGUCACAGUCAUUUCAUAUAAGUCACAAAUCAGUAUAAACAAGUGACAGAUCAAUAUUAAGGGGUCACAGAUCAAAUUUAUAGGCCACAUUUUAUAUUACGAGUCACAAGUAACAAAUCACAGGUUGAAAAUCAUAUUUUAUAUCUCACAAUGUACACAGGUCACAUGUUAUUGUCAAGAAAAAAAUUGCGAAUUUAAUAUAUUUAAUUACAAAAAUAUUUUUUUGAUUAAUUAUUUCAUAACUAAAUUUGAUUUUUGAAAUUUCAAACUUUUUUUCAUA